GAAAGAUUCAUCGGUAUGGAAUGGGGUCGCGUCCUAUCAGCUUGAUGGCGGGGUAACGGCCCACCAUCGCUUCGACGGGUAGCCGGCCUGAGAGGGCGACCGGCCACAUAGGGACUGAGAUACGGCCCAGACUCAUACGGGAGGCAGCAGUGGGGAAUAUAGCACAAUGGGCGCAAGCCUGAUGCAGCGACGCCGCGUGCGGGAUGACGGCCUUCGGGUUGUAAACCGACUUUGACUGGGAGCAAGCCCUUCGGGGUGAGUGUACCUCUCGAAUAAGCACCGGCUAACUACGUGCCAGCAGCCGCGGUAAUACGUAGGGUGCAAGCGUUAUCCGGAAUUAUUGGGCGUAAAGGGCUCGUAGGCGGUUCGUCGCGUCCGGUGUGAAAGUCCAUCGCUUAACGGUGGAUCCGCGCCGGGUACGGGCGGG
This 427-nucleotide ribosomal RNA is filed under the name uncultured Bifidobacterium sp. RNAcentral's name for it is "bacterial SSU rRNA". It matches the Rfam family "Bacterial small subunit ribosomal RNA", at positions 202 to 640 of the family's 1533-position model. Lineage: Bacteria; Bacillati; Actinomycetota; Actinomycetes; Bifidobacteriales; Bifidobacteriaceae. The record is from RNAcentral.